Non-coding RNA from Methyloversatilis sp. RAC08, 403 nucleotides. It matches the Rfam family "Bacterial RNase P class A". From Rfam's summary of the family: Ribonuclease P (RNase P) is a ubiquitous endoribonuclease, found in archaea, bacteria and eukarya as well as chloroplasts and mitochondria. NCBI's taxonomy places the organism in Bacteria, Pseudomonadati, Pseudomonadota, Betaproteobacteria, Nitrosomonadales, Sterolibacteriaceae. The record is from Rfam.
GAAGUCCGCCGGGCAACCGCGGCGCGCAAGCGCGGAGGAAAGUCCGGGCCCCGCAGAGCAGGAUGCCGGCUAACGGCCGGGCGCAGCAAGCCGCGCGAAAGCGCGGCCCAAGGCGACGGAAAGUGGAACAGAAAACAUACCGCCGAUGGCCGCAAGGAUCAGGCAAGGUUGAAAUGGUGCGCCUGCGGGCGGGCGGAAACGCCGGGUAAGAGCCCACCGCGUGCGCGGCAACGUGCACGGCAUGCAAAACCCCAUCCGGGGCAAGGCCAAAUAGGGAAGCGAUGACGCGGCUCGCGUCGCUUCCGGGUAGGCUGCUCGAGCGACGUGGCAACACGUCGCCCAGAUGAAUGGUUGCCGGUGCGUUCGCGCACAACAGAACCCGGCUUACAGGCGGACUUCCACU